UCGGGAAUAUUGGGCAAUGGACGAAAGUCUGACCCAGCAAUGCCGCGUGAGUGAUGAAGGUCUUCGGAUCGUAAAACUCUGUCUUUGGGACGAACAAGGUGACGUACCAAUGAGA
Molecule: ribosomal RNA, 115 nt
Filed under: uncultured bacterium
Lineage: Bacteria
Description: partial 16S ribosomal RNA
Rfam family: Bacterial small subunit ribosomal RNA
Source: RNAcentral